UACGGGGGGGGCAAGCGUUGUUCGGAAUUACUGGGCGUAAGGGCUCGUAGGCGGCCAACUAAGUCAGACGUGAAAUCCCUCGGCUUAACCGGGGAACUGCGUCUGAUACUGGAUGGCUUGAGUUUGGGAGAGGGAUGCGGAAUUCCAGGUGUAGCGGUGAAAUGCGUAGAUAUCUGGAGGAACACCGGUGGCGAAGGCGGGUCUCUGGGCAUCUCCUGACGCUGAGGCGCGAAAGCCAGGGGAGCAAACGGG
This 252-nucleotide ribosomal RNA is filed under the name uncultured bacterium. Its description in RNAcentral is "partial 16S ribosomal RNA". It matches the Rfam family "Bacterial small subunit ribosomal RNA", at positions 524 to 776 of the family's 1533-position model. The record is from RNAcentral.